AUUUUUCGCAAUGGGCGAAAGCCUGACGAAGCAACGCCGCGUGGAGGAUGAAGGCCCUAGUGGUCGUAAACUCUUGUCUAGCGGGACGAAAGUAUUUGGAGUAAAUAAUUCCAGAUAUUGACUGUACUGCUGGAGGAAGCUCCGGCCAACUCCGUGCCCGCAGCCGCGGUAAUACGGAGGGAGCAAGCGUUACUCGGAAUUAUUGGGCGUAAAGGGCGCGUAGGCGAUCUGCCAAGUCCUGUGUGAAAGCCCAAGGCUUAACCUUGGAAGUGCACAGGAGACUGGCUGGAUUUGAGUUCAGGAGAGGAAGGCAGAAUUCCCGGUGUAGCGGUGAAAUGCGUAGAGAUCGGGAGGAAUACCAGUGGCGAAGGCGGCCUUCUGGACUGACACUGACGCUGAGGCGCGAAAGCCAGGGGAGCAAAC
RNAcentral lists this ribosomal RNA (423 nucleotides) under uncultured bacterium. RNAcentral's name for it is "bacterial SSU rRNA". It matches the Rfam family "Bacterial small subunit ribosomal RNA", at positions 361 to 773 of the family's 1533-position model. The record is from RNAcentral.